This is a long non-coding RNA of Grus americana (Whooping crane), 1425 nucleotides long. RefSeq lists it as uncharacterized. The transcript has 2 exons. The record is from RefSeq and is a predicted model, not a curated record. Lineage: Eukaryota; Metazoa; Chordata; Aves; Gruiformes; Gruidae.
CUAUGUGAUCUCGAUUAAAACCUGUGCUUACGCUGGGCAACUCUCCUGCCAUAAUUUAGAAGUUUGCUGUGCUACAGCUAUUUGCAGUUGUUAGACUGAAACGUCCUUUCAUCUCUGCAAUCUCAUUCAGUCCCCUAGCAUUGUGGGGAACGCAGGCGAACCACUAUAAAUAACUGAGCCUUUUCAUGUCAGCUGGUACAAAUACCAGCCACUUCGAACAAUCUGACCUUUCUUGGGGAUUCUGACCAAUCUGCAGUAGAAGACGGCUAAUAUCUUUCAGGAUUUUCCAUGGUUAAGGAAAUCAGGAGGGACUGCACCUGUGUUGGACCAUGAGGGAGCACAAAGCGAUGCUGGUUCCUCCCAUACUGACUAAUCCCCUUUGUCUGCUGUGCACAAACACCACUACCUGCCCGAAACCCCUUCAGCCCUCAGAUUUCCAUUUACAGCUGUCUCCAGAGUGUCGCAAGAAAAGAUGAUGGAUGGGCAGAACUUUAUUUCCAUUAGAACGAAGCCAACUGAAUAUUUCCAUCUGCUUUAUUAAAAAUACUAGUUCUCGCUUUGCUUAAUCUUGAAAAAUGCAACAUGUUUCUGCAGCUGAGUUUGCAUUUUGUCUAGGAAAUGGAUGCCUGAGGUGGAACGAUUUUCUGUGGGAACAGAGCAAGGUGCGAUUUAAUGCCUUCCCUCCCACGGGCAGAGGGCAUCCAGCUUGGCAGAGAGAAGCUGAUAGCCCCACAAUUACCAUCUCCCCAAAGGGGUCAAUACUUUGGGUUUUUGGCAAGGUGGCCCCUGAACUCCAGCAACAAAGGCGGUCAGGGAGAUAACUUGAACACUUGAACCGGAGACCUCUCUGUCAUCUCAGCCUUGUCCUCAGGCUCGGUGCUCCACUCCCUGACCACGUCCAAGCCCUGCAGAGGGUUGUUCUCCCUCCUCGACAGGUUUCUGUAAUUCCUGCGCUUGACACACUGCUCGUGAUUCGUAGCUGGCAUCGGUUACAGAAGAUUGCUGGAAGAAGUGAGCACUAAAGUGCUGGGAUUCGAUGGGGUGGGAGGCAUGGGGAGGGAAACACACUAGAAGCACAGGAGCUUGGCAUCUCUCAUUGGGGCCUGAGGGAGUCGGAUUUGGGUGAACAACUGCUCUAUCACAGCGUCUGUAUAACUACAACUCUGUCCAAAGAAUAGAGUUUGUUCAUGAUUUUCUUUACUUGCAUUGCUUUUCCUAUUUCCCUCUGCUUUUCCCAGAAAUAGAACAUGACAUUUAUUUUUAUGGACAGCAUGAUCUUAUGGCUAUUCCCCUGUGACGAGAUAAUCUGAACACAAUUAUGUUCUGUUGACAAAAAGUGAUAAAAGUGUAUUGUGUCAACACUCUGAACUAACAGAUUUGUCAUCUGCUCUACUCUCAGAUAAUAGAAACAGAAUUAGAAAAUGC